Long non-coding RNA from Amphibalanus amphitrite, 715 nucleotides. RefSeq lists it as uncharacterized. The record is from RefSeq and is a predicted model, not a curated record. NCBI's taxonomy places the organism in Eukaryota, Metazoa, Arthropoda, Thecostraca, Balanomorpha, Balanidae. The transcript is spliced from 3 exons.
GAGAAUCAUUCUAGGACCAGCUCACUCAGUCAGAAGACCUCAGAGUAAACAGCUAUGAAGGCUACCCUGGUUCUGGUCUGUCUUGUGGCUGCUGCUUCGGCAAGGCCCCAGUUCGGAUUUUCAGGAUUCGGCAGCCCGUUUGGAGGAGCUAACGGCAACACCGGAGCCAACAGCGUCCAGGGGCUGAACCAGGGGCCGUUCGGCAACAGCCAGGUGCAGCAAAGCAGCGCCUUUGCCAAUGGCAACGCAUUCAACGGUGGCGCUUCUUUUAACAGCGCUAAUAGCAACGUCGGCCAGAGCUUUGGACUGUUCGGGCCACAGCAGUUCAGCAGCAACAAUGCCUUCAGUAACCAGUUCGGAGGCUAAGUCCGCACUGGUCCAUCAGUGAAUCGGAAUUCAGAAUUCAGCAACAUCAUAAAACGUCUUUUACUGAGUGAAUUUCUCGUUGUUGUUCAUAAUGAAAAGCCUGAUACAAUAUGUGCUGCUCCGACUCUUCUACAAUAACGUACUGGAGUGUUUGCUUAAAGAAACAUGUUGUUUUUCUUUGCUGGAUUUCAGCUGUCUUGCGUUCCUGGCGGUCAACAGUGUCCGUGUGUUUCAUCACAGUCAUACCUAUCAUCCUUCAAAGCGUCCGCUCUGUUACUUGACUGAGAUCAUGUUUAUUUAUUGUCUUGGGCGUGUGAAGUGAAUAUAACUAAGGUUGGAAAGGUCAAAA